Macadamia integrifolia is the source of this 637-nucleotide long non-coding RNA. RefSeq lists it as uncharacterized. The transcript is spliced from 4 exons. The record is from RefSeq and is a predicted model, not a curated record. Lineage: Eukaryota; Viridiplantae; Streptophyta; Magnoliopsida; Proteales; Proteaceae.
UACCAAAAUAAAAUAAAAUAAAAAAUGUGGGCAUUUGAUGUUACUAUCAUCCAAACCCACUAUCUAUAUAUUAACCCUUCCAGCCUUUGUCUUUCCACUUCAUCCCUAUUCAUCUCACCCCUUUCCUCCUGCCUCUAGAAUUUGGACUGAAGCAUAGCAGAGUUUGAAAACAGAGUUACAAGAGAUGAAGAUGUCUACCACCCUGUUCAUUCUUUUCCUCAUGAUGAUCUCCUCAAGAUAUUCUGUUAACUUUUCAGCCACAAGAAUAGGUUCUGAUGAAUAGACCAACCUUCCGAAGAAUUUGGACUGAAGCAUAGCAGAGUUUGAAAACAGAGUUACAAGAGAUGAAGAUGUCUACCACCCUGUUCAUUCUUUUCCUCAUGAUGAUCUCCUCAAGAUAUUCUGUUAACUUUUCAGCCACAAGAAUAGGUUCUGAUGAAUAGACCAACCUUCCGAAGGUGAAGAUACCUAUCUUGUACAAAACGCUGCUUGGUGUUCCCAAUUUUAAAAUAGAACACUUUUCUUCAUUAAAUAUUAUAAUGGUUCCUGUGUGUACAAGCCGUGCAACAAAACCGUGCAGCGAGGACUAUUCUUUUUCCUUAUUAUUAAUAUGGGAAAAGGUUGGGUAUGCCGCCGA